UACAGAGGGUGCAAGCGUUGCUCGGAAUCAUUGGGCGUAAAGGGUAGGUAGGUGGUCUCGUUUGUCUGGGGUGAAAGCCUUGAGCUUAACUCAAGAAGUGCCUUAGAAACGGCGAGACUGGAGUCUUGGAGAGGGUCGUGGAAUUCCCGGUGUAGCGGUGAAAUGCGUAGAGACCGGGAGGAACACCGGUGGCGAAGGCGGAUCUCUGGAACGCAACUGACGCUGAGACGCGAAAGCGUGGGGAGCAAACAGG
This 253-nucleotide ribosomal RNA is filed under the name uncultured bacterium. RNAcentral's name for it is "partial 16S ribosomal RNA". It matches the Rfam family "Bacterial small subunit ribosomal RNA", at positions 524 to 776 of the family's 1533-position model. The record is from RNAcentral.